ACGGGACCCCGCACAAGCGGUGGAUCAUGUUUGUUUAAUUCGAUGAUACGCGAAGAACCUUUACCAGGUCUUGACAUCCCCUGCAAAGCUAUGGAGACAUAGUGGAGGUUAUCAGGGAGACAGGUGGUGCAUGGUUGUCGUCAGCUCGUGUCGUGAGAUGUUGGGUUAAGUCCCGCAACGAGCGCAACCCUUAUUGCUAGUUACCAUCAUUGAGUUGGGGACUCUAGCGAGACUGCCAGUGAUAAACUGGAGAAGUGGGGAUGACGUCAAAUCAUCAUGCCCCUUAUGACCUGGGCUACAAACGUGAUACAAUGGCUGAAACAAAGGGCAGCGAAGCAGUGAUGUGGAGCGAAACCCAAAAAAGCAGUCUCAGUUCGGAUUGAAGUCUGCAACUCGACUUCAUGAAGUCGGAAUCGCUAGUAAUCGCGGAUCAGAACGCCGCGGUGAAUACGUUCUCGGGGUUU
RNAcentral lists this ribosomal RNA (464 nucleotides) under uncultured Acholeplasma sp. Its description in RNAcentral is "bacterial SSU rRNA". It matches the Rfam family "Bacterial small subunit ribosomal RNA", at positions 913 to 1382 of the family's 1533-position model. Lineage: Bacteria; Bacillati; Mycoplasmatota; Mollicutes; Acholeplasmatales; Acholeplasmataceae. The record is from RNAcentral.